RNAcentral lists this ribosomal RNA (830 nucleotides) under uncultured bacterium. RNAcentral describes it as "bacterial SSU rRNA". It matches the Rfam family "Bacterial small subunit ribosomal RNA", at positions 63 to 852 of the family's 1533-position model. The record is from RNAcentral.
CGAGCGAGUCUGCCUUGAAGAUCGGAGUGCUUGCACUCUGUGAAACAAGAUACAGGCUAGCGGCGGACGGGUGAGUAACACGUGGGUAACCUGCCCAAAAGAUCGGGAUAACACCUGGAAACAGAUGCUAAUACCGGAUAACAACAGAUGAUGCCUAUCAACUGUUUAAAAGAUGGUUCUGCUAUCACUCUUGGAUGGACCUGCGGUGCAUUAGCUAGUUGGUAGGGUAACGGCCUACCAAGGCGAUGAUGCAUAGCCGAGUUGAGAGACUGAUCGGCCACAUUGGGACUGAGACACGGCCCAAACUCCUACGGGAGGCAGCAGUAGGGAAUCUUCCACAAUGGACGCAAGUCUGAUGGAGCAACGCCGCGUGAGUGAAGAAGGGUUUCGGCUCGUAAAGCUCUGUUGUUGGUGAAGAAGGACAGGGGUAGUAACUGACCUUUGUUUGACGGUAAUCAAUUAGAAAGUCACGGCUAACUACGUGCCAGCAGCCGCGGUAAUACGUAGGUGGCAAGCGUUGUCCGGAUUUAUUGGGCGUAAAGCGAGUGCAGGCGGUUCGAUAAGUCUGAUGUGAAAGCCUUCGGCUCAACCGGAGAAUUGCAUCAGAAACUGUCGAGCUUGAGUACAGAAGAGGAGAGUGGAACUCCAUGUGUAGCGGUGAAAUGCGUAGAUAUAUGGAAGAACACCGGUGGCGAAGGCGGCUCUCUGAUCUGUUACUGACGCUGAGGCUCGAAAGCAUGGGUAGCGAACAGGAUUAGAUACCCUGGUAGUCCAUGCCGUAAACGAUGAGUGCUAAGUGUUGGGAGGUUUCCGCCUCUCAGUGCUGCAGC